AGGACAAACGCUGGCGGCGUACCUAAGACAUGCAAGUCGAACGGGGGAUGGACCCUUCGGGGACCAUUUCGAGUGGCGAACGGGUGAGUAACACGUAGGAACCUGACGUUUGGUGGGGGAUAACGCUGGGAAACCGGCGCUAAUACCGCAUAAAGUCCCUCGAAAGAGGGAGCAAAGCAGCAAUGCGCCAGAUGAGGGGCCUGUGGCCGAUUAGCUAGUUGGUGAGGUAAAGGCCCACCAAGGCGACGAUCGGUAGCUGGUCUGAGAGGAUGGUCAGCCACACUGGGACUGAGACACGGCCCAGACUCCUACGGGAGGCAGCAGUUAGGAAAUUUUCGCAAUGGGGGAAACCCUGACGGAGUAACGCCGCGUGGAGGAUGACGGCGUUUCGGGUUGUAAACUCCUUUUUCUGUGGGAAGAGUAGAAGACGGUACGCAGGAAGAGCCUCGGCUAACUACGUGCCAGCAGCCGC
This 472-nucleotide ribosomal RNA is filed under the name uncultured bacterium. RNAcentral describes it as "SSU rRNA". It matches the Rfam family "Bacterial small subunit ribosomal RNA", at positions 26 to 518 of the family's 1533-position model. The record is from RNAcentral.